Molecule: ribosomal RNA, 442 nt
Filed under: uncultured bacterium
Lineage: Bacteria
Description: partial 16S ribosomal RNA
Rfam family: Bacterial small subunit ribosomal RNA
Source: RNAcentral
CCUACGGGUGGCAGCAGUGGGGAAUAUUGCGCAAUGGGCGCAAGCCUGACCCAGCAACGCCGCGUGAAGGAAGAAGGCUUUCGGGUUGUAAACUUCUUUUAAGGGGGAAGAGCAGAAGACGGUACCCCUUGAAUAAGCCACGGCUAACUACGUGCCAGCAGCCGCGGUAAUACGUAGGUGGCAAGCGUUGUCCGGAUUUACUGGGUGUAAAGGGCGUGCAGCCGGAGAGACAAGUCAGAUGUGAAAUCCACGGGCUCAACCCGUGAACUGCAUUUGAAACUGUUUCCCUUGAGUGUCGGAGAGGUAAUCGGAACUCCUUGUGUAGCGGUGAAAUGCGUAGAUAUAAGGAAGAACACCAGUGGCGAAGGCGGAUUACUGGACGAUAACUGACGGUGAGGCGCGAAAGCGUGGGGAGCAAACAGGAUUAGAUACCCCUGUAGUC